This 631-nucleotide long non-coding RNA is filed under the name Bos taurus (domestic cattle). RNAcentral describes it as "long non-coding RNA NONBTAT011709". The record is from RNAcentral. Lineage: Eukaryota; Metazoa; Chordata; Mammalia; Artiodactyla; Bovidae.
AUUGUUUCUCAGAAGUACAUCCGUCCAUCACUAAUGUGUAAAAUACAUGUACCUAUAUAAAUAGACCACCGCCUCCGAGUUUCAACGCCGUGUUUGCUGCCAGACGCUGAGCUUCUCUGAGACAUCCUCGAUCGUCUCUUCAUUUGGAAUUACAACCGUAGUAUUUUGUUUGUGGCAUAAACUACAGUCCAUCCUUCUUUCACUGGAAUGAAGACCAUGCCCAGGACCAUUUUUUGAAAGGACCCGGUUGUAACUUUUAAGGCUUGGUUUGUACAAUGGAUAAAACCUAAGUGAACGUCAUGUGAUUUAUCAGUGUUGCUGCCCUGUGCUCCGGCCACCUGGUGGAUUAUGACGACAUGAGGGGCUGGAGAGAAGAGGAAAGUGGUGUUGAAGCCCACAGGAGCAAACAAAACACACCCUCCUCAAUUCCUCCCGAACGUGUUUCUUCUGCUUCUACUAUGACAGUUCUGGAGCAAAGACACUGAUGAAACGAUACUCAUUGAUGAAAAGAAUAUGUUUCUGACUUUCAAAUCCUCUUUCCUGGUGAAAGAAACAGCAAACAUUCAAGCUUCAGCAUCUGUUCUCCCAUUGCACUGAGGAAUGUCCUGUCUGGCAGCACCAACUCUGCAGA